This 64-nucleotide transfer RNA is filed under the name Salix viminalis (osier). It matches the Rfam family "tRNA". Rfam says of the family: Transfer RNA (tRNA) molecules are approximately 80 nucleotides in length. Their secondary structure includes four short double-helical elements and three loops (D, anti-codon, and T loops). Further hydrogen bonds mediate the characteristic L-shaped molecular structure. tRNAs have two regions of fundamental functional importance: the anti-codon, which is responsible for specific mRNA codon recognition, and the 3' end, to which the tRNAs corresponding amino acid is attached (by aminoacyl-tRNA synthetases). tRNAs cope with the degeneracy of the genetic code in two manners: having more than one tRNA (with a specific anti-codon) for a particular amino acid; and 'wobble' base-pairing, i.e. permitting non-standard base-pairing at the 3rd anti-codon position. The record is from Rfam by way of RNAcentral. Lineage: Eukaryota; Viridiplantae; Streptophyta; Magnoliopsida; Malpighiales; Salicaceae.
GCCGACAUGGCUAAGGCGAGCGAGAUAAUUAGAAAGGGUGUGGGUUCGAAUCCCACUCUUGGCA